GGGCUGGUAGAUCAGAUGGUAGAUCGUUACCUUGGCAUGGUAAAGGCCUCGGGUUCAAAUCCCGAUCAGUCCA
Molecule: transfer RNA, 73 nt
Filed under: Methanobrevibacter sp. 87.7
Lineage: Archaea; Methanobacteriati; Methanobacteriota; Methanobacteria; Methanobacteriales; Methanobacteriaceae
Description: tRNA-Ala
Rfam family: tRNA
About the family: Transfer RNA (tRNA) molecules are approximately 80 nucleotides in length. Their secondary structure includes four short double-helical elements and three loops (D, anti-codon, and T loops).
Source: RNAcentral